ACGGAAGGCAGCAGUGGGGAAUAUUGGACAAUGGGGGGAACCCUGAUCCAGCGACGCCGCGUGAGUGAAGAAGUAUUUCGGGAUGUAAAGCUCUAUCAGCAGGGAAGAUAAUGACGGUACCUGACUAAGAAGCCCCGGCUAACUACGUGCCAGCAGCCGCGGUAAUACGUAGGGGGCAAGCGUUAUCCGGAUUUACUGGGUGUAAAGGGAGCGUAGACGGCAUGGCAAGUCUGAUGUGAAAACCCGGGGCUCAACCCCGGGACUGCAUUGGAAACUGUCAGGCUAGAGUGCAGGAGAGGUAAGUGGAAUUCCUAGUGUAGCGGUGAAAUGCGUAGAUAUUAGGAGGAACACCAGUGGCGAAGGCGGCUUACUAGACUGUAACUGACGUUGAGGCUCGAAGGCGUGGGGAGCAAACAGGAUUAGAUACCCUGGUA
This 434-nucleotide ribosomal RNA is filed under the name uncultured Lachnospiraceae bacterium. Its description in RNAcentral is "bacterial SSU rRNA". It matches the Rfam family "Bacterial small subunit ribosomal RNA", at positions 341 to 792 of the family's 1533-position model. The record is from RNAcentral. Lineage: Bacteria; Bacillati; Bacillota; Clostridia; Lachnospirales; Lachnospiraceae.